RNAcentral lists this long non-coding RNA (708 nucleotides) under Rattus norvegicus (Norway rat). RNAcentral describes it as "long non-coding RNA NONRATT026750". The record is from RNAcentral. Lineage: Eukaryota; Metazoa; Chordata; Mammalia; Rodentia; Muridae.
ACAGACACAGAGCUGGCUUCCUUUCAGGGUUCUCCAGCGGUAGCCCAGCAGGGACACACAGAAGUGAGACUCGGCUUGCCCCGGGGCAGCUUUUCUGAGCCACAGGAACUAUUUUACAUUGCCGAAGUUGCAGUACACUAACGCCAGAGAGCGACCGCCCGGGUCCGAGAGUACCAGGGGCCCAGCGUGGGACAGUGGCGCGCGGGAACCCGUCGUGCCCAUUUUUAAUUAUACCGCAACAGCAUGCUAAUCCGGAAGACUCACAGAAGCAUCUUUUUCUAGCUCCGAGGGACUAUCGCCUGCCUUGCUUCACGGUUCCUUCCCUCUAUCAUCCAUACCUGCUGCCGGGGACCACACACUGCCCUUCCCUUGCUUGCAUCCCUGACUUCUCUGGUUCUCAGUGCCUCCUCUAAGGAUCCUCAUGCUUAGACUGGGCUCCACUGGACAGUAUCUCUAUUUUCUGACCCAACCAUCGGUAGCCUUAAUUCCCCUUGCGGCUUUCUAUUUCCCUGAUACCAUGUAAUCCGGAACUCACAGGUUUCUGGAAUUAGGAUUUGAAUCUUUGGAGGGAGACAGGAAGCUGCUUUUGUCAACAACUUGAAGGUCAAAGACAGAGUCUCAAGGGAAAUGUAAAAGGCAUCUCGCCAAGCUGAGUGGAAAUGAAAAUAUAGGAUUCCAAAAUUAUGAGUUCUUAGAAGGGACGGUGUA